Molecule: ribosomal RNA, 636 nt
Filed under: Triticum aestivum (bread wheat)
Lineage: Eukaryota; Viridiplantae; Streptophyta; Magnoliopsida; Poales; Poaceae
Description: partial small subunit ribosomal RNA
Source: RNAcentral
AUGGAGAUGCCGAUUAAUGUGUUAGUCUGGAAUGUAAGGGGGCUGAAUAACCCUGCUAGGAGGUGUUCGAUCAGGCUUUUUACUCAAUCCUACAACAUUUCUUUAGUGUGUUUUCAAGAAUCAAAGUUUGCUAUUGUGGAUGCAGCGGUUGUGUGUGAAUGCCUGGGUCUUGCUUUUGAUGCUUUUGAUUAUCUUCAGGCGGAUGGCACAAGAGGAGGAAUUCUGUUAGCCUGGAAAUAUGAUAGGUUGCGGAUUUCGAACAUUCAGAAGGGUGAGUUUAUGAUCUCGGCUCACGCUCUUUCUCUGGAGGAUGGCAAAGAAUGGAUGGUGUCCCCGGUGUACGGGCCACAAGGUGAUGAGGAUAAAUUGAGGUUUCUGGAGCAGAUGGUGCAGUUCGGUGAUCAAGUGCACUUGCCUUGGAUUGUUACCGGGGAUUUCAAUCUGAUCUGCUCGGAAUUGGAGCGUAGUUCAGGGAGAGGUAACAGGAGACUCAUGUCUAAAUUUAGACAUGCUAUUAAUAGGCUUGGUCUACAUGAUAUGCCGAUGAUUGGAAGGAGGUAUACCUGGUGCAAUCAACAAGAACAUGCGGUGAUGGCGAGGUUAGAUCGUGUGUUAUUCAAUAAUGCUUGGGAGGAG